RNAcentral lists this ribosomal RNA (253 nucleotides) under uncultured bacterium. RNAcentral describes it as "partial 16S ribosomal RNA". It matches the Rfam family "Bacterial small subunit ribosomal RNA", at positions 524 to 776 of the family's 1533-position model. The record is from RNAcentral.
UACGUAGGGGGCAAGCGUUAUCCGGAUUCACUGGGUUUAAAGGGUGCGUAGGCGGAACGAUAAGUCAGUGGUGAAAGCCCCGAGCUCAACUUGGGAAUUGCCAUUGAUACUGUUGUUCUUGAGUUCGGUUGAGGUAGGCGGAAUGUUGCAUGUAGCGGUGAAAUGCUUAGAUAUGCAACAGAACACCGAUUGCGAAGGCAGCUUACCAAGCCGACACUGACGCUGAUGCACGAAAGCGUGGGGAUCAAACAGG